This is a non-coding RNA of Podarcis lilfordi (Lilford's wall lizard), 104 nucleotides long. The record is from the annotation of a GenBank genome assembly. Lineage: Eukaryota; Metazoa; Chordata; Lepidosauria; Squamata; Lacertidae.
CCUUAGAGAGCACCUAAGUUUGUUCUGGGUAUAAGAUUUUGUGUGCUUGCACACUUCUUCAGAUAAAAGCUUAUACCCAGAACAAACUUAGGUGCUCUCUAAGG